RNAcentral lists this ribosomal RNA (468 nucleotides) under uncultured bacterium. Its description in RNAcentral is "partial 16S ribosomal RNA". It matches the Rfam family "Bacterial small subunit ribosomal RNA", at positions 28 to 507 of the family's 1533-position model. The record is from RNAcentral.
GACGAACGCUGGCGGCGUGCUUAACACAUGCAAGUCGAACGGAAAGGCCCUGCUUUUGUGGGGUGCUCGAGUGGCGAACGGGUGAGUAACACGUGAGUAACCUGCCCUUGACUUUGGGAUAACUUCAGGAAACUGGGGCUAAUACCGGAUAGGAGCUCCUGCUGCAUGGUGGGGGUUGGAAAGUUUCGGCGGUUGGGGAUGGACGCGCGGCUUAUCAGCUUGUUGGUGGGGUAGUGGCUUACCAAGGCUUUGACGGGUAGCCGGCCUGAGAGGGUGACCGGCCACAUUGGGACUGAGAUACGGCCCAGACUCCUACGGGAGGCAGCAGUGGGGAAUAUUGCACGAUGGGCGGAAGCCUGAUGCAGCAACGCCGCGUGCGGGAUGACGGCCUUCGGGUUGUAAACCGCUUUCGCCUGUGACGAAGCGUGAGUGACGGUAAUGGGUAAAGAAGCACCGGCUAACUACGUG